Molecule: ribosomal RNA, 395 nt
Filed under: uncultured bacterium
Lineage: Bacteria
Description: bacterial SSU rRNA
Rfam family: Bacterial small subunit ribosomal RNA
Source: RNAcentral
GUGUCAGCAGCCGCGGUAAUACGUAGGGUGCAAGCGUUGUUCGGAAUUAUUGGGCGUAAAGCGCGUGUAGGUGGUUAGGAAAGUUGGAUGUGAAAUCCCUGGGCUUAACUCAGGAAGUGCAUCCAAAACUCUCUAGCUAGAGGGCGAGAGAGGGAGGUGGAAUUCCUAGUGUAGAGGUGAAAUUCGUAGAUAUUAGGAGGAAUACCGGUGGCGAAGGCGGCCUCCUGGAUCGCACCUGACACUGAGACGCGAAAGCGUGGGGAGCAAACAGGAUUAGAUACCCUGGUAGUCCACGCCGUAAACGAUGGGUACUAGAUGUUGUGGGAAUUGACCCCCGCAGUGUCGCAGCUAACGCAUUAAGUACCCCGCCUGGGAAGUACGGCCGCAAGGUUAAA